UGUAAACGAUGUCGAUUUGGAGUUUGUUGCCUAGAGUGAUGGGCUCCGAAGCUAACGCGAUAAAUCGACCGCUGGGGAGUACGGCCGCAAGGUUAAAACUCAAAUGAAUUGACGGGGGCCCGCACAGCGGUGGAGCAUGUGGUUUAAUUCGAUGCAACGCGAAGGACCUUACCUGGUCUUGACAUCCAUAGAAUUCUGCAGAGAUGUGGGAGUGCCCUCGGGAACUAUGAGACAGGUGCUGCAUGGCUGUCGUCAGCUCGUGUUGUGAAAUGUUGGGUUAAGUCCCGCAACGAGCGCAACCCUUAUUCUUUGUUGCCAGCGAUUUGGUCGGGAACUCAAAGGAGACUGCCGUUGAUAAAGCGGAGGAAGGUGGGGACGACGUCAAGUCAUCAUGGCCCUUACGACCAGGGCUACACACGUGCUACAAUGGCGUAUACAAAGGGAAGCGAAGGUGCGAGCUGGAGCGGAUCUCAUAAAGUACGUCUAAGUUCGGAUUGGAGUCUGCAACUCGACUCCAUGGAGUCGGAAUCGCUAGUAAUCGUAGAUCAGAAUGCUACGGUGAAUACGUUCCCGGGCCUUGUACACACCGCCCGUCACACCAUGGGAGUGGGUUGCACCAGAAGUAGAUAGCUUAACCGCGAGGGGGGCGUUUACCACGGUGUGAUUCAUGACUGGGGUGAAGUCGUAACAAGGUAACCA
RNAcentral lists this ribosomal RNA (699 nucleotides) under uncultured Enterobacteriaceae bacterium. Its description in RNAcentral is "bacterial SSU rRNA". It matches the Rfam family "Bacterial small subunit ribosomal RNA", at positions 801 to 1502 of the family's 1533-position model. Lineage: Bacteria; Pseudomonadati; Pseudomonadota; Gammaproteobacteria; Enterobacterales; Enterobacteriaceae. The record is from RNAcentral.